Molecule: transfer RNA, 71 nt
Filed under: Thermoplasmata archaeon
Lineage: Archaea; Methanobacteriati; Thermoplasmatota; Thermoplasmata
Also listed under: 2 other names
Description: tRNA-Cys
Rfam family: tRNA
About the family: Transfer RNA (tRNA) molecules are approximately 80 nucleotides in length. Their secondary structure includes four short double-helical elements and three loops (D, anti-codon, and T loops). Further hydrogen bonds mediate the characteristic L-shaped molecular structure. tRNAs have two regions of fundamental functional importance: the anti-codon, which is responsible for specific mRNA codon recognition, and the 3' end, to which the tRNAs corresponding amino acid is attached (by aminoacyl-tRNA synthetases). tRNAs cope with the degeneracy of the genetic code in two manners: having more than one tRNA (with a specific anti-codon) for a particular amino acid; and 'wobble' base-pairing, i.e. permitting non-standard base-pairing at the 3rd anti-codon position.
Source: RNAcentral
GGGCGGGUAACAAAGGGGCUAUGUGGUGGACUGCAGAUCCACUUACGUGGGUUCGAAUCCCACCCCGCCCU